AUGGCUGGAAUUGUGGUGUCACACAAGGAAGGCACCUGCUCCACCAACACUUCCUCCAGUCUGAUGGCAGCACAGUGAGGAAAGGCAAGGGCAAAGGCAGCUCUGAAAAUUCGGCCGUGAAGCAGGUGCAGAUCGACGGCCUGGUAGUAUUAAAGAUAAUCAAACAUUAUCAAGAAGAAGGACAAGGAACUGAUGUUGUUCAGGGAGUGCUCCUGGGUCUGGUUGUAGAAGAUCGACUAGAGAUUACUAACUAUUUCCCGUUCCCCUAGCACAUGGAGGAUGAUGCUGACUUUGAUGAAGUACAGUCAGUACCAGAUGGAGAUGCUGCGCAGCCUUCGCCAUGUAAACAUUGAUCACCUCCACAUGGGCUGGUAUCAGUGCACAUACUAUGGCUUCUUCAUUACCCCGGCACUUCUGGAUUCUCAGUUCAGUUACUAGCAUGCCACCGAAGAAUCUGUCGUUCUCAUUUACAAUCCCAUAAAAACUGCCCGAGGAUCUCUCUUACUGGGGGCAUACAGACUCCUAAACUGACAGAAGAGUUUGUAAAGGGAAGGACUUUUCCCCUGAAGCAUUGAAAAAGGCAAACAUCACCUUUGAGCACAUGUUUGAAGAAGUGCAGAUUGUAAUUAAAAAUUCACAUCUGAUCGAUGUCCUAAUGUGGGAGCUGGAGAAGAAGUCAGCUGUGGUGAAUAAGCAUGAAUUGCUCAGUUUUGCUAGCAGCAAUCGUUUAGGGAAGAAUCUCCAGUUGCUGGAGGGCCGGGCCGAUGAAAUGAGCCAGGACAUAAUCAAAUACAACACAUACAUGAAGAACACCAGUCAACAGCAGUAAAAACGUCAGUAUCAGCAGCGCCGCCAACAGGAGAAUAUGCACCUCUCCAAACUCUUCAAGCCCCACCGGGGCCCCUGCCUGGAUGGAUUCACUGCUCAUCGCAGUCCAGAUUAACACUUACUGCCAGACCAUCAAGGAGUUCACUACCCAAAACUUAGGCAAACUCUUCGUGGCCCAGGCUCUUCGAGAAUACAAUAAUUAA
Mus pahari (shrew mouse) is the source of this 1031-nucleotide RNA transcript. It is a transcript of the gene named eukaryotic translation initiation factor 3 subunit H pseudogene, with no coding region annotated. The transcript has a single exon. The record is from RefSeq and is a predicted model, not a curated record. NCBI's taxonomy places the organism in Eukaryota, Metazoa, Chordata, Mammalia, Rodentia, Muridae.